UGCUGUUCCAUUAUCAGCAGACCCGUUCGUAACUGUUUAUCUUCUAUAACUGUGACUUUCAAUAACAAAACUCUUCACCUGCAUACAGAGACGAGCAAUACGCUAUGAAACCACGAUACUGAAUGUUACGAAAAUUCACUUUCACAUUCGUGUUACUCGCAUCAAAGAGUAAACGGUCAUGAAGGUUGAGCGAUUUUUUUCACAAAAAAAUGAGAGAAACCAUCGUGCAUUUUGUAACAGUAAAAAAAAGUAUUUCAGAUUUGGCUGAAAUUUGCACCAUAGAAUGAGCUCUACCUGAGAAAUUUCGGAGCCAAAUUUGGCGUCCUCAGCUACUAUACAGGUUGAGUUAUGCAGCUUCAAACAUGAAAUUUGCAAAUUUUCAAACGAUUGACGUUGUCGUGUCGGCGAAAAUCGGUGUGUUGGAGUUUAAAAAAUAUACUUCUAUACUCUGCGAACAAUAUAUCCAAUCGUAUACAAUAUUUAUCGGAAUAAGCAUUCAAUACAGUAGAGCUCUAACAACUAUUUGUUUUCUCACUGGUUCAAGCAAUCAGUUGUAUUGUCACGAUUUCACAUAAGAGAGGUUUCCAUUCUCCUACUGUCAGAGUCGUUCUCCACGUUUCUACAACAACGUUUCACUCUUGGAAGUCUUCAUCCUCCAGACUAGUCUCCAUCCUCUUGACUCUAGACUUCACUCAGAGCAAGUGCAAUGCAUAUCUACACUAUUGGCAUACUGACUAUUUUUCUUCAUAGCAUUGCUGUCGGAGUCGUACAGGAAUCUAAAUCAUGGGUGAGUGGACUUCCAUAAUAUUGAAUACGAGCAGGUGUUAUAAUCUGUACUCCA
Long non-coding RNA from Nilaparvata lugens (brown planthopper), 841 nucleotides. RefSeq lists it as uncharacterized. The transcript has 3 exons. Lineage: Eukaryota; Metazoa; Arthropoda; Insecta; Hemiptera; Delphacidae. The record is from RefSeq and is a predicted model, not a curated record.